GAGGAAUAUUGGUCAAUGGACGCAAGUCUGAACCAGCCAUGCCGCGUGCAGGAUGACGGCUCUAAUGAGUUGUAAACUGCUUUUGUACGAGGGUAAACCCCGAUACGUGUAUCGGGUUGAAAGUAUCGUACGAAUAAGGAUCGGCUAACUCC
RNAcentral lists this ribosomal RNA (152 nucleotides) under uncultured bacterium. RNAcentral's name for it is "partial 16S ribosomal RNA". It matches the Rfam family "Bacterial small subunit ribosomal RNA", at positions 356 to 504 of the family's 1533-position model. The record is from RNAcentral.